UUUCCGUAGGUGAACCUGCGGAAGGAUCAUUGUCACACAUCCUAAUGGAUGCUUGUGCCAACAAGCAGACCCAGCGAACCAUUCUCCUAUCACUUGAGGGGCUGCACCGCGAGGUGCAGCUGUCGGCGGUCGGGCCCUUGCCUCAGGGGCCGGAGUCCUCGCUGGGUUCUCCGUUGCGGGUGAGCACCGGCCGUCCGACGGGCGCCGCUCUUGGGCCUCGCACACGGGAGAGUGCGGGGGCGGCGUUUCCCACUCCAGCUGUCCCAUCCGGGGCAGCUGCACAACCAACCAAAACACUAUGAAAAAACCCACUGAAGACCGAUCCUUUGCGGGCGCCUUCGGGAGCCCUGCCUCGGAUCAAAAACAAACGAAAGACAACUCUCAACAACGGAUAUCUUGGCUCUC
RNAcentral lists this unclassified non-coding RNA (405 nucleotides) under plant metagenome. Its description in RNAcentral is "partial contains small subunit ribosomal RNA, internal transcribed spacer 1, and 5.8S ribosomal RNA". The record is from RNAcentral.